AAAUAAAGUAAUGACAAGCAUCAAUGGUUUUAAAAUGGCACACAGUUCCAACGGAGCUGUGCAGAAUCGCUAGCAAGAGAUUCUGGGUACGUAAUUUUUUGGUCUUGAGGCAGCUGGUAGCCAUUUGCUCUGGCGCCUCA
Molecule: non-coding RNA, 140 nt
Organism: Parasteatoda tepidariorum (common house spider)
Lineage: Eukaryota; Metazoa; Arthropoda; Arachnida; Araneae; Theridiidae
Source: RefSeq, a predicted model, not a curated record